RNAcentral lists this ribosomal RNA (426 nucleotides) under uncultured bacterium. RNAcentral describes it as "partial 16S ribosomal RNA". It matches the Rfam family "Bacterial small subunit ribosomal RNA", at positions 354 to 796 of the family's 1533-position model. The record is from RNAcentral.
GUGAGGAAUUUUCCGCAAUGGGCGAAAGCCUGACGGAGCAAUGCCGCGUGAAGGAUGAAGGCCUAUGGGUUGUAAACUUCUUUUCUCAGAAAAGAAUUAUGACGGUAUCUGAGGAAUAAGCAUCGGCUAACUCUGUGCCAGCAGCCGCGGUAAGACAGAGGAUGCAAGCGUUAUCCGGAAUGAUUGGGCGUAAAGCGGCUGUAGGUUGUUUAAAAAGUAUUCUGUCAAAGAUUAGGGCUUAACCCUAGAUAGGCAGAAUAAACUUUUAAGCUAGAGUUUGGUAGAGGCAGAGGGAAUUCCCGGUGGAGCGGUGAAAUGCGUAGAUAUCGGGAGGAACACCAAAGGCGAAGGCACUCUGCUGGGCCAAUACUAACACUGAGAGACGAAAGCGAGGGGAGCAAAUGGGAUUAGAAACCCUGGUAGUCC